CAAACCGAUGCAAUGCAUCAAAUAAAACAAACCGACAUAUACAAACACAACCGACGCGAGUAUAAAAAAAAUCUACACCGCUUCAUUCUGUAACCGUCAUCCAAAACUAAACCGCCAUAAAACCAGUUGAAGUAUUUCGGCUGUUCUAAUGGUUCUAAUAAUGGUUCACAAAAACUAUUCAAUGUGUUACUCCACGAGUUGAAACUCUUCGCCGGAAUAACGUCAAUCUCAACGGUUGUGUCGUUUCUUUUUUUGAUUCAGCACUCCACCGAAAUUAGGGAUUGCAACCCUUCGCCGAAAUCCCGACAGGACUUAUAGCUGAUACAAGAUGGUGAGGAUAAUCGAACACCCUGCGUUUUUCUGCAAGUCUUCAUCCUGCAAUGGCCAUAUCAUUUAAAAUGAAUGUUUUAAAUUAAUGCAUUAUCACAAUUAAUUCAAAAGGAGAAUUUCAAUGUAUUUGAUAUUGAGACGGUCUAAGAGGAAGGCCGUGGCCGGCUUACAACAGUGUCACCGUCGUCUGCGUAAUUUUCGCCUCCAUUCAAGUAUCUAAUCCCUUCAGCUUCUAAAGUUAGGCCAUGGCUUUUGGUGGUCAACCGUGGCGGUCGCGGUGGAGAUGAACAAGAAACAAAGCAUUAUAAUCGAAAGAAAUGAAAUUGAAGUGAAAGGUGUGUUUUGAUUUCAGAAUUUGGAUCGUUAGAAUUUACCUCAUUUCCUUUCGCUACAGGCGAUGAUUGGAUGAUUUUGGGGUACACUACGGUUUCGAUUUUGGUUGUUCGCUGUGAAAAACGUUCGAAACCUAGAUUUAUUUAGGUUUUAUAUGUUUGUUUUUUAGUUUGAUUAUAUAUUGCGUGUCAUUCA
Helianthus annuus (common sunflower) is the source of this 858-nucleotide long non-coding RNA. RefSeq lists it as uncharacterized. NCBI's taxonomy places the organism in Eukaryota, Viridiplantae, Streptophyta, Magnoliopsida, Asterales, Asteraceae. The transcript has 4 exons. The record is from RefSeq and is a predicted model, not a curated record.